RNAcentral lists this ribosomal RNA (2904 nucleotides) under Collinsella sp. TF10-11AT. Its description in RNAcentral is "bacterial LSU rRNA". It matches the Rfam family "Bacterial large subunit ribosomal RNA". The record is from RNAcentral. Lineage: Bacteria; Bacillati; Actinomycetota; Coriobacteriia; Coriobacteriales; Coriobacteriaceae.
GGGAGGACAACCCGGGGAACUGAAACAUCUAAGUACCCGGAGGAGAGGAAAUCAAUCUCGAGACUCCCCGAGUAGCGGCGAGCGAAAGGGGACCGAUGGCCAAACCGUCGAGCGGGCAUACCCGGCAGGGGUUCCGCCGACGGGGUUGCAGGGCCGCGCAUCCGGGGGCUGCCGCCCCCGGGCGCAGGUCCGGCUGGGGAGCGGAACGGCAUGGGAGGGCCGGCCGCAGCGGGUGACAGCCCCGUACGCGAACCCAGACCGGACGGCGCGACGCGGUCCCUGAGUAGGGCCGGGCACGUGAAACCCGGUCCGAACCUGGGUGGACCACCAUCCAAGCCUGAGUACUACCCUGUGACCGAUAGCGCACCAGUACCGUGAGGGAAAGGUGAAAAGCACCCCGGGAGGGGAGUGAAACAGUACCUGAAACCGUGCGCCCACGAGCAGUCGGAGCACCUAUAUGGUGUGACGGCGUGCCUUUUGUAGAAUGAGCCAGCGAGUCGCUGGCGCGGGGCGAGGUUAACCGAAAGGGAGCCGGAGCGAAAGCGAGCCUUAACAGGGCGACUUGAGUCCCGCGCCGCGGACGCGAAGCCGGGUGAGCUAUCCGUGGGCAGGCUGAAGCGGGGGUAAGACCCCGUGGAGGGCCGAACGCACGUCGGUUGAAAACGGCGGCGAUGACCUGCGGAUAGGGGUGAAAGGCCAAUCAAACCCGGAGAUAUCUCGUUCUCCCCGAAAUAGCUUUAGGGCUAGCGUCGCGCGUUCACCGCCGGAGGUAGAGCACCGGAUGGACGAGGGGGCUUCGCCGCCUACCGAAUCCAACCGAACUCCGAAUGCCGGCGGCCCAGAGCGCGGCAGUCAGAGCAUGUGGGCUAAGCUGUGUGCUCGAGAGGGAAACAGCCCGGACCGCCCGCUAAGGUCCCCAAGUUCCAGCCGAGUGGCAAAGGAUGUGCGUCCGCCCAGACAACCAGGAUGUUGGCUUAGAAGCAGCCAUGCAUUCAAAGAGUGCGUAACAGCUCACUGGUCGAGUGGACAUGCGCCGACAAUACACGGGGCUAAGCUGGACACCGAAGCGGCGGGAUUUUGAUUUACAGAAUCGGUAGGGGAGCUUCCCAUGGGCGGUGAAGCCGCCNNNNNNNNNNCGCCGACAAUACACGGGGCUAAGCUGGACACCGAAGCGGCGGGAUUUUAAUUCAUUAGAAUCGGUAGGGGAGCUUCCCAUGGGCGGAGAAGCCGGAGGGCGACCGGCGGUGGAGCGCAUGGGAGUGAGAAUGCUGGCAUGAGUAGCGAGAGACGAGAGAGUAACUCGUCCGCCGUGAACCCGAGGUUUCCUGGGCAAGGCUAAUCCUCCCAGGGUCAGUCGGGGGCUAAGGCGAGGCCGGGAGGCGUAGCCGACGCGCAGCAGGCAGACAUUCCUGCACCGCGCACGCGGCGCUACGACCGACGGGGCGACGGAUGGGGGUGGCUCGGCGGGGUUCUGGACGUCCCCGUGAUGGAGCGCGGCCCGCGGACCAGGGAAAUCCGGUCCGCAUCAAGGGCGAGGCUCCGGACGAAGCGAUUGAGCGAAGCGAGUGAGCCCGAGGUCCCUAGAAAAACCCCUAGGCAGGCGCGUGCGCGCCCGUACCGCAAACCGACACAGGUGGGUGGGUAGAACAUACCGAGGCGAUCGGGUCAACCAUGGUCAAGGAACUCGGCACAAUGGCCCCGUAACUUCGGGAGAAGGGGUGCCCGCGCGUACGUGAACGGACUUGCUCCGGGAGCGGAGGCGGGCCGCAGUGGAGAGGCCCAAGCGACUGUUUACCAAAAACACAGGACUCUGCAGAAGCCGCAAGGCGACGUAUAGGGUCUGACGCCUGCCCGGUGCCGGAAGGUCACGCGGAGGAGUUAGCCGUUAAGGCGAAGCCCCGAAGCCAAGCCCCGGUAAACGGCGGCCGUAACUAUAACGGUCCUAAGGUAGCGAAAUUCCUUGUCGGGUAAGUUCCGACCUGCACGAAAGGCGCAACGACUUGGGCGCUGUCUCGACCAUGGACCCGGUGAAAUUGCACUGGUCGUGAAGAUGCGACUUACCCGCGGAAGGACGGAAAGACCCCGUGAACCUUCACUGCAGCUUGGCAUUGGCCGCUGGUCCCGCGUGUAGAGGAUAGGCAGGAGGCAUCGAUCCGGAGGCGCCAGCCCCCGGGGAGCCGCCCUUGGAAUACUGCCCUCGCGCGACCGGCGUCCUAACCCGAGGCCGUCAACCGGCUCGGGGACCGUGCCAGGCGGGCAGUUUGACUGGGGCGGUCGCCUCCUAAAGGGUAACGGAGGCGCGCGAAGGUCCGCUCGGGACGGUCGGCAACCGUCCUUUUGAAUGCAAGAGUACAAGCGGGCUUGACUGCGAGGCCCACAAGCCGAGCAGGUGCGAAAGCAGGCUCUAGUGAUCCGGCGGCCCCGAGUGGGUGGGCCGUCGCUCAACGGAUAAAAGGUACUCCGGGGAUAACAGGCUGAUCUUGCCCAAGAGUCCACAUCGACGGCAAGGUUUGGCACCUCGAUGUCGGCUCAUCGCAUCCUGGGGCUGGAGCAGGUCCCAAGGGUACGGCUGUUCGCCGUUUAAAGCGGUACGCGAGCUGGGUUCAGAACGUCGUGAGACAGUUCGGUCCCUAUCCUCCGUGGGCGCAGGAGAAUCGAUGGAGGCUGCCCCCAGUACGAGAGGACCGGGGUGGACGCACCUCCGGUGAACCGGUUGUCGACCAACGGCACGGCCGGGUAGCCGCGUGCGGCGCGGAUAACCGCUGAAGGCAUCUAAGCGGGAAGCCGUUCCAGGGAUUAGUUCUCCUUCCGGUAAGGGCCCAGGUAGACUACCUGGUCGAUAGACGGCAGGUGCAAGGCUGGCGACAGCCUCAGCCGAGCCGCACUAAUCGCCCGAGCUCUUCC